GGAGAGUUUGAUCCUGGCUCAGGAUGAACGCUGGCGGCGUGCCUAAUACAUGCAAGUCGAACGAAGAGUGUAGCAAUAUGCUCUUAGUGGCGAACGGGUGAGUAACGCGUUGGUGACCUGCCCCAAAGAGGGGGACAACAGCUCGAAAGGGCUGCUAAUACCCCAUGUGGUCGCGAGAGUUAGAGGUCUGGCGACUAAAGGAAUGUCCGUUCUCCGAAUGGCAUCCACUUUGGGAGGGGCCUGCGUCCCAUCAGCUAGUUGGUAGGGUAAUGGCCUACCAAGGCGACGACGGGUAGGGGGCCUGAGAGGGUGACCCCCCACACUGGCACUGAAACACGGGCCAGACACCUACGGGUGGCAGCAGUAGGGAAUAUUGCACAAUGGGCGAAAGCCUGAUGCAGCAACGCCGCGUGCGCGAUGAAGGCCUUCGGGUCGUA
This 437-nucleotide ribosomal RNA is filed under the name Chloroflexota bacterium. RNAcentral's name for it is "bacterial SSU rRNA". It matches the Rfam family "Bacterial small subunit ribosomal RNA", at positions 6 to 427 of the family's 1533-position model. Lineage: Bacteria; Bacillati; Chloroflexota. The record is from RNAcentral.